GAUGAAGAACGUAGCGAAAUGCGAUAAGUAGUGUGAAUUGCAGAAUUCAGUGAAUCAUCGAAUCUUUGAACGCACAUUGCGCCCCUUGGUAUUCCAUGGGGCAUGCCUGUUCGAGCGUCAUUUGUACCUUCAAGCUCUGCUUGGUGUUGGGUGUUUUGUCUCGCCUCUGCGUGUAGACUCGCCUUAAAACAAUUGGCAGCCGGCGUAUUGAUUUCGGAGCGCAGUACAUCUCGCGCUUUGCACUCAUAACGGCGACGUCCAAAAGUACAUUUUUACACUCUUGACCCCGGAUCAGGUAGGGAUACCCGCUGAACUUAAGCAUAUCAAUAAGCGGAGGA
This 338-nucleotide unclassified non-coding RNA is filed under the name soil metagenome. RNAcentral's name for it is "partial contains 5.8S ribosomal RNA, internal transcribed spacer 2, and large subunit ribosomal RNA". The stretch from base 1 to 120 matches the Rfam family "5.8S ribosomal RNA", at positions 35 to 154 of the family's 154-position model. The record is from RNAcentral.